RNAcentral lists this ribosomal RNA (394 nucleotides) under uncultured bacterium. RNAcentral describes it as "partial 16S ribosomal RNA". It matches the Rfam family "Bacterial small subunit ribosomal RNA", at positions 361 to 773 of the family's 1533-position model. The record is from RNAcentral.
AUAUUGCACAAUGGGGGAAACCCUGAUGUAGCAACGCCGCGUGAGCGAUGAAGGUNUUNNAAUCGNANAGCCCUGUCCUAAGGNNNNNUAAUGAUGGUACCUUAGGAGGAAGCCGCGGCUAACUACGUGCCAGCAGCCGCGGUAAUACGUAGGGGGCAAGCGUUUUCCGGAAUCAUUGGGCGUAAAGAGUACGUAGGCGGCCUUAUGGGUCGAAGGAGAAAUUCUACGGCUUAACCGUAGUAAGCCUUUGAAACUGUAGGGCUUGGGUGCAGGAGAGGGGAGUGGAAUGCCUAGUGUAGCGGUGAAAUGCGUAGAUAUUAGGAGGAACACCAGUGGCGAAGGCGACUCUCUGGACUGCAACUGACGCUGAGGCACGAAAGCGUGGGUAGCGAAC